RNAcentral lists this ribosomal RNA (465 nucleotides) under uncultured bacterium. Its description in RNAcentral is "partial 16S ribosomal RNA". It matches the Rfam family "Bacterial small subunit ribosomal RNA", at positions 28 to 507 of the family's 1533-position model. The record is from RNAcentral.
GAUGAACGCUGGCGGCGUGCUUAACACAUGCAAGUCGAACGGAAAGGCUCCUGCUUGCAGGGGUACUCGAGUGGCGAACGGGUGAGUAACACGUGGGUGAUCUGCCCUGCACUUCGGGAUAAGCCUGGGAAACUGGGUCUAAUACCGGAUAGGACGAUGGUUUGGAUGCCAUUGUGGAAAGUUUUUCGGUGUGGGAUGAGCUCGCGGCCUAUCAGCUUGUUGGUGGGGUAAUGGCCUACCAAGGCGUCGACGGGAAGCCGGCCUGAGAGGGUGUACGGCCACAUUGGGACUGAGAUACGGCCCAGACUCCUACGGGAGGCAGCAGUGGGGAAUAUUGCACAAUGGGCGCAAGCCUGAUGCAGCGACGCCGCGUGGGGGAUGACGGCCUUCGGGUUGUAAACUCCUUUCGCUAGGGACGAAGCGCAAGUGACGGUACCUGGAGAAGAAGCACCGGCUAACUACGUG